Molecule: ribosomal RNA, 588 nt
Filed under: uncultured Methylibium sp.
Lineage: Bacteria; Pseudomonadati; Pseudomonadota; Betaproteobacteria; Burkholderiales; Sphaerotilaceae
Description: bacterial SSU rRNA
Rfam family: Bacterial small subunit ribosomal RNA
Source: RNAcentral
ACUCCUACGGGAGGCAGCAGUGGGGAAUUUUGGACAAUGGGCGCAAGCCUGAUCCAGCCAUGCCGCGUGCGGGAAGAAGGCCUUCGGGUUGUAAACCGCUUUUGUCAGGGAAGAAACGGUCUGAACUAAUACUUUGGACUAAUGACGGUACCUGAAGAAUAAGCACCGGCUAACUACGUGCCAGCAGCCGCGGUAAUACGUAGGGUGCAAGCGUUAAUCGGAAUUACUGGGCGUAAAGCGUGCGCAGGCGGCUUUGCAAGACAGAUGUGAAAUCCCCGGGCUCAACCUGGGAACUGCAUUUGUGACUGCAUGGCUAGAGUACGGUAGAGGGGGAUGGAAUUCCGCGUGUAGCAGUGAAAUGCGUAGAUAUGCGGAGGAACACCGAUGGCGAAGGCAAUCCCCUGGACCUGUACUGACGCUCAUGCACGAAAGCGUGGGGAGCAAACAGGAUUAGAUACCCUGGUAGUCCACGCCCUAAACGAUGUCAACUGGUUGUUGGACGGCUUGCUGUUCAGUAACGAAGCUAACGCGUGAAGUUGACCGCCUGGGGAGUACGGCCGCAAGGUUGAAACUCAAAUGAAUUGACGG